This 497-nucleotide ribosomal RNA is filed under the name uncultured bacterium. RNAcentral describes it as "partial 16S ribosomal RNA". It matches the Rfam family "Bacterial small subunit ribosomal RNA", at positions 28 to 507 of the family's 1533-position model. The record is from RNAcentral.
GAUGAACGCUGGCGGCGUGCCUAAUACAUGCAAGUCGAGCGAACAGACGAGGAGCUUGCUCCUCUGACGUUAGCGGCGGACGGGUGAGUAACACGUGGAUAACCUACCUAUAAGACUGGGAUAACUUCGGGAAACCGGAGCUAAUACCGGAUAAUAUAUUGAACCGCAUGGUUCAAUAGUGAAAGACGGUUUUGCUGUCACUUAUAGAUGGAUCCGCGCCGCAUUAGCUAGUUGGUAAGGUAACGGCUUACCAAGGCGACGAUGCGUAGCCGACCUGAGAGGGUGAUCGGCCACACUGGAACUGAGACACGGUCCAGACUCCUACGGGAGGCAGCAGUAGGGAAUCUUCCGCAAUGGGCGAAAGCCUGACGGAGCAACGCCGCGUGAGUGAUGAAGGUCUUCGGAUCGUAAAACGCUGUUAUUAGGGAAGAACAAAUGUGUAAGUAACUAUGCACGUCUUGACGGUACCUAAUCAGAAAGCCACGGCUAACUACGUG